AGCAGGGUAAGCUAAACAAGCUAUCGGGCCCAUACCCCGAAAAUGAAGGCACAACUCCUUCCCCUACUA
Molecule: transfer RNA, 69 nt
Filed under: Melanocharis versteri (Fan-tailed berrypecker)
Lineage: Eukaryota; Metazoa; Chordata; Aves; Passeriformes; Melanocharitidae
Description: tRNA-Met
Rfam family: tRNA
About the family: Transfer RNA (tRNA) molecules are approximately 80 nucleotides in length. Their secondary structure includes four short double-helical elements and three loops (D, anti-codon, and T loops).
Source: RNAcentral